GCCUGAGUGGCUCAGUUGGUUAAGCGUCCGACUUCGGCUCGGGUCAUGAUCUCAUGGUUCGUGAGUUCAAGCCCCGCGUCGGGCU
RNAcentral lists this transfer RNA (85 nucleotides) under Felis catus (domestic cat). It matches the Rfam family "tRNA". Rfam says of the family: Transfer RNA (tRNA) molecules are approximately 80 nucleotides in length. Their secondary structure includes four short double-helical elements and three loops (D, anti-codon, and T loops). Lineage: Eukaryota; Metazoa; Chordata; Mammalia; Carnivora; Felidae. The record is from Rfam by way of RNAcentral.